RNAcentral lists this long non-coding RNA (942 nucleotides) under Orbicella faveolata. RNAcentral's name for it is "uncharacterized LOC110061234, transcript variant X1". Lineage: Eukaryota; Metazoa; Cnidaria; Anthozoa; Scleractinia; Merulinidae. The record is from RNAcentral.
GCUGUGAUCUGGGGCACGUAAAUCAAUGAAACAGUCGGCUUUAACAUGUGGAAACCACCUUUCAGUAAGAGUUAUGUCCGCAUUAAAGUAAUCGGCAUCUAAUUUCGUGUAAUCAGGUGAGAAGCUAAUCUGGUACAUUACUGUGUGACUGGGAGAAAUUCUGGUGAUUGACGUGGACAGACAGUCGUUGGAGAAAUGAUGUUCCACAAACUACAGGGAAAUAUCAAGCAUGAGCCAAUGGGAAACUGAACAAGUGUCUGGUGCAGGAGAGACGGACAACAUUCUGGAUUCCAUUUUCGAUGAGGAAAAUAUCAAGCCUGGAAUGGAGAAAGCUUCUGGUGUACGAGACAAGAACUUGUGAAUGACAUCAGCGAGGAGAAUAUCUGGAAUUGAAAAAGCUGGAAAGUUAGAAGCGUUUCUGGUGUAGGAGAGAAGGACAACUUUUUUAAUAACACACACAGCCAGGAGAAUAUCAAGCAUGGAAUGGAAAACUGAGCUGCAAAUCAAGAAACCUCUUCUGGCGUGGGAGACAAGAACAACUUCUGAGUGACUUUACCAAUGAGGUUUGUUUCUUACUUUUUGCAUUAAGCUGUAGAUUCGGUGCUAGUUGUUCGAACGCAGAUUUACCAAUCCAAGUUUCUGUAAUCAAUAACAGCCGGCCCAAUACCACCAGGGGGUUAAAAGCGACGUGAAGAUUUACUAAUUCAGGAUUACAACUUAACAACUAUUUUCACUGUUAAGUUUGAAUUUGAAAUUAACUGAUGCCGAUAAAAAAUCAUUCAGUGAAACCUAAUUUACCUAAGCUGUAAUCUAGGCGUCCUGUGAAAGGGGGAUUCCCUGAGACGACCAGGAAUUAUUUGUCAUUCAACAGGGAACAAAACAACAGCUGAAAAAAGAAUUUAAAAAACUAGACUUGUUCUUCUUUGUCGAUGAUUAUUUGCU